This 75-nucleotide transfer RNA is filed under the name Bacillota bacterium. RNAcentral's name for it is "tRNA-Glu". It matches the Rfam family "tRNA". Rfam says of the family: Transfer RNA (tRNA) molecules are approximately 80 nucleotides in length. Their secondary structure includes four short double-helical elements and three loops (D, anti-codon, and T loops). Lineage: Bacteria; Bacillati; Bacillota. RNAcentral also lists the same sequence under 2 other names. The record is from RNAcentral.
GGCCCCUUAGUCUAGUGGUAAGGACGAGUGGUUCUCAGCCAUUAAGCAGGGGUUCGAUUCCCCUAGGGGCCGCCA